GAUGAACGCUGGCGGCGUGCCUAAUACAUGCAAGUCGAGCGAACAGACGAGGAGCUUGCUCCUCUGACGUUAGCGGCGGACGGGUGAGUAACACGUGGAUAACCUACCUAUAAGACUGGGAUAACUUCGGGAAACCGGAGCUAAUACCGGAUAAUAUAUUGAACCGCAUGGUUCAAUAGUGAAAGACGGUUUUGCUGUCACUUAUAGAUGGAUCCGCGCCGCAUUAGCUAGUUGGUAAGGUAACGGCUUACCAAGGCAACGAUGCGUAGCCGACCUGAGAGGGUGAUCGGCACACUGGAACUGAGACACGGUCCAGACUCCUACGGGAGGCAGCAGUAGGGAAUCUUCCGCAAAGGGCGAAAGCCUGACGGAGCAACGCCGCGUGAGUGAUGAAGGUCUUCGGAUCGUAAAACUCUGUUAUUAGGGAAGAACAAAUGUGUAAGUAACUAUGCACGUCUUGACGGUACCUAAUCAGAAAGCCACGGCUAACUACGUG
RNAcentral lists this ribosomal RNA (496 nucleotides) under uncultured bacterium. Its description in RNAcentral is "partial 16S ribosomal RNA". It matches the Rfam family "Bacterial small subunit ribosomal RNA", at positions 28 to 507 of the family's 1533-position model. The record is from RNAcentral.